RNAcentral lists this ribosomal RNA (433 nucleotides) under uncultured bacterium. RNAcentral's name for it is "partial 16S ribosomal RNA". It matches the Rfam family "Bacterial small subunit ribosomal RNA", at positions 29 to 507 of the family's 1533-position model. The record is from RNAcentral.
AACGAACGCUGGCGGCAUGCCUAACACAUGCAAGUCGAACGAGACCUUCGGGUCUAGUGGCGCACGGGUGCGUAACGCGUGGGAAUCUGCCCUUGGGUUCGGAAUAACAGUGAGAAAUUACUGCUAAUACCGGAUGAUGUCUUCGGACCAAAGAUUUAUCGCCCAGGGAUGAGCCCGCGUAGGAUUAGCUAGUUGGUGGGGUAAUGGCCUACCAAGGCGACGAUCCUUAGCUGGUCUGAGAGGAUGAUCAGCCACACUGGGACUGAGACACGGCCCAGACUCCUACGGGAGGCAGCAGUGGGGAAUAUUGGACAAGGGGCGCAAGCCUGAUCCAGCAAUGCCGCGUGAGUGAUGAAGGCCUUAGGGUUGUAAAGCUCUUUUACCCGGGAUGAUAAGGACAGUACCGGGAGAAUAAGCUCCGGCUAACUCCGUG